This 808-nucleotide ribosomal RNA is filed under the name uncultured organism. RNAcentral describes it as "bacterial SSU rRNA". It matches the Rfam family "Bacterial small subunit ribosomal RNA", at positions 46 to 852 of the family's 1533-position model. The record is from RNAcentral.
GCCUAAUACAUGCAAGUCGAACGGUAAGGUCUCUUCGGAGAUACACGAGUGGCGCACGGGUGCGUAACGCGUAUGCAACCUACCUUGAGCUGGAAGAUAGCCCCGAGAAAUCGGGAUUAAUAUUCCAUAAUGUCCAUUUUUUGCAUAUGAGAUGGAUUAAAGUUACGGCGGUUCAAGAUGGGCAUGCGUGACAUUAGCUAGUUGGUGAGGUAACGGCUCACCAAGGCGACGAUGUCUAGGGGUCCUGAGAGGGUUUCCCCCCACACUGGUACUGAGACACGGACCAGACUCCUACGGGAGGCAGCAGUAAGGAAUAUUGGUCAAUGGACGCAAGUCUGAACCAGCCAUGCCGCGUGCAGGAUGACUGCCCUACGGGUUGUAAACUGCUUUUACGUGAGAAAAAACUCCCCGAUUCGUUCGGGGACUGAUGGUAUCACAUGAAUAAGCAUCGGCUAACUCCGUGCCAGCAGCCGCGGUAAUACGGAGGAUGCAAGCGUUAUCCGGAUUCAUUGGGUUUAAAGGGUGUGCAGGCGGAAUGAUAAGUCAGAGGUGAAAUCCCCCGGCUCAACCGGGGACCUGCCUUUGAUACUGUUGUUCUUGAGUAUAGUUGAAGUGGGCGGAAUGUGUCAUGUAGCGGUGAAAUGCAUAGAUAUGACACAGAACACCGAUAGCGAAGGCAGCUUCACUAACCUAUAACUGACGCUCAUGCACGAAAGCGUGGGGAGCAAACCAGGAUUAGAUACCCUGGUAAGUCCACGCUGUAAACUAUGAUCACUAGUUGUUAGCGAUACACUGUUAGCGACUGAGG